CCAGACAUCAUGAAAUCCAUCCUUGUUGCCGCUCUUGCUCUGGCCUGCGUGCUCGGACUCGCCACCGCUCAGUAUGGAUACGGUUAUCCCAGCACUCAAGGUGGCAUCGGGGGACAAUCAGGACUGAUGAUGUUGUUGCUCAUCUUCUUCCUCUUCUUCUUCCUCAACAACAACAACAACUCCAGCUCUGGUGGCACCAUCACCCUUGUUAACGCCUCUGCCUCUGGCUAAACUUGAUAAUCCAAGGAAAAGAAGCAGCAACACACCAAGCAUCACGUUCCCACAAAGCCCCAGUAGCCUGCAUUGCAAUGCACGUGUAGUUACAUAUUGUUUUCUGCUAUUAAGUUUUACAUUAAAAAUGAAACACAGA
Mercenaria mercenaria is the source of this 370-nucleotide long non-coding RNA. RefSeq lists it as uncharacterized. The record is from RefSeq and is a predicted model, not a curated record. The transcript is spliced from 3 exons. Lineage: Eukaryota; Metazoa; Mollusca; Bivalvia; Venerida; Veneridae.